UGGGGAAUCUUGCACAAUGGGCGCAAGCCUGAUGCAGCAACGCCGCGUGCAGGAAGAAGGCCCUAGGGUUGUAAACCCCUUUCCUGAGGGAAGAAAAUGGCCGGACCUACGGAAAAAAGCGCGGCCAACAUAUCCUGCCACACACGCCGCGCGUAACACACUUAGCACCACGCGUUAUCCGGAUUUAUUGUGCGUAAAGAGCUCGCAUGCGGUUCAUGCAAACUGGCGUGAAAACUUGCCGCUUAUCCUCGAGAGAUCACUCGAUACUACAGUGACUAUGAUGCGGUAAGAGAACGGGGAAUUCCUGGGGUAACGGUGAAAUGCCCAAAUAUCAGGAAGAACACCCGUGGCCAAAGGCCCGCUCUGGGCCUGAACUGAACCUUAAGACCCAAAACCUGGGUAACAAACAAGAAUAAAAACCCUGGGAAUCCCUGCCCCAAACCUAGGGAACUAAGUGUGGGUCUCAACCAACCACAUCCGCGCCGACGCUAACGCAAUAAGUGCCCCGCCUGGGGAGUACGGUCGCAAGACUA
Molecule: ribosomal RNA, 533 nt
Filed under: uncultured bacterium
Lineage: Bacteria
Description: bacterial SSU rRNA
Rfam family: Bacterial small subunit ribosomal RNA
Source: RNAcentral